Molecule: ribosomal RNA, 468 nt
Filed under: uncultured bacterium
Lineage: Bacteria
Description: partial 16S ribosomal RNA
Rfam family: Bacterial small subunit ribosomal RNA
Source: RNAcentral
GACGAACGCUGGCGGUGUGCUUAACACAUGCAAGUCGAACGGAAAGGCCCUGCUUUUGUGGUGUGCCCGAGUGGCGAACGGGUGAGUAACACGUGAGUAACCUGCCCUUGACUUUGGGAUAACUUCAGGAAACUGGGGCUAAUACCGUAUAGGAGCUCCUGCUGCAUGGUGGGGGUUGGAAAGUUUCGGCGGUUGGGGAUGGACUCGCGGCUUAUCAGCUUGUUGGUGGGGUAGUGGCUUACCAAGGCUUUGACGGGUAGCCGGCCUGAGAGGGUGACCGGCCACAUUGGGACUGAGAUACGGCCCAGACUGCUACGGGAGGCAGCAGUGGGGAAUAUUGCACAAUGGGCGGAAGCCUGAUGCAGCAACGCCGCGUGCGGGAUGACGGCCUUCGGGUUGUAAACCGCUUUCGCCUGUGACGAAGCGUGAGUGACGGUAAUGGGUAAAGAAGCACCGGCUAACUACGUG